This 464-nucleotide ribosomal RNA is filed under the name uncultured bacterium. RNAcentral describes it as "partial 16S ribosomal RNA". It matches the Rfam family "Bacterial small subunit ribosomal RNA", at positions 28 to 507 of the family's 1533-position model. The record is from RNAcentral.
GACGAACGCUGGCGGCGUGCUUAACACAUGCAAGUCGAACGGAAAGGCCCUGCUUGCAGGGUACUCGAGUGGCGAACGGGUGAGUAACACGUGGGUGAUCUGCCCUGCACUUCGGGAUAAGCCUGGGAAACUGGGUCUAAUACCGGAUAGGAGCCAUUUUUAGUGUGAUGGUUGGAAAGUUUUUUCGGUGUAGGAUGAGCUCGCGGCCUAUCAGCUUGUUGGUGGGGUAAUGGCCUACCAAGGCGGCGACGGGUAGCCGGCCUGAGAGGGUGGACGGCCAACUGGGGCCUAGGGAAGGCCCCAGCAGCCAAUGGGGGGCAGGGGGGGGGAGAAUGGCGCAGGGGCGCCAAGCGUGUGGCGGAGGCCCUCGGUGGGGAAAGCCGUCCUUCGGGUGAAAAACUCCUUUGGCAGGGGAUAAGCCUUUUUUGACGGGACCUAAGUAGAAAGGCACGGCCAAACACGUG